UACGUAGGGUCCGAGCGUUGUCCGGAAUUAUUGGGCGUAAAGGGCUCGUAGGCGGUUUGUCGCGUCGGGAGUGAAAACACCGGGCUUAACUCGGUGCUUGCUUUCGAUACGGGCAGACUAGAGGUAUUCAGGGGAGAACGGAAUUCCUGGUGUAGCGGUGAAAUGCGCAGAUAUCAGGAGGAACACCGGUGGCGAAGGCGGUUCUCUGGGAAUAUCCUGACGCUGAGGAG
RNAcentral lists this ribosomal RNA (230 nucleotides) under uncultured microorganism. Its description in RNAcentral is "partial 16S ribosomal RNA". It matches the Rfam family "Bacterial small subunit ribosomal RNA", at positions 524 to 753 of the family's 1533-position model. The record is from RNAcentral.